RNAcentral lists this ribosomal RNA (468 nucleotides) under uncultured bacterium. RNAcentral describes it as "partial 16S ribosomal RNA". It matches the Rfam family "Bacterial small subunit ribosomal RNA", at positions 28 to 507 of the family's 1533-position model. The record is from RNAcentral.
GACGAACGCUGGCGGCGUGCUUAACACAUGCAAGUCGAACGGAAAGGCCCUGCUUUUGUGGGGUGCUCGAGUGGCGAACGGGUGAGUAACACGUGAUUAACCUGCCCUUGACUUGGGGAUAACUUCAGGAAACUGGGGCUAAUGCCGGAUAGGAGCUCCUGCUGCAUGGUGUGGGUUGGAAAGUUUCGGCGGUUGGGGAUGGGCUCGGGGCUUAUCAGCUUGUUGGUGGGGUAGUGGCUUACCAAGGCUUUGACGGGUAGCCGGCCUGAGAGGGUGACCGGCCACAUUGGGACUGAGAUACGGCACAGACUCCUACGGGAGGCAGCAGUGGGGAAUAUUGCACAAUGGGCGGAAGCCUGAUGCAGCAACGCCGCGUGCGGGAUGACGGCCUUCGGGUUGUAAACCGCUUUCGCCUGUGACGAAGCGUGAGUGACGGUAAUGGGUAAAGAAGCACCGGCUAACUACGUG